UCCUCCUCCGCGUUAAUUAAUUUUUUGCCACUCUAGCGGAGGCGGAGCGGGAGGAGAGGACGACGGGGAGCGCUCCGGGCGACGGCGGCUGGAGGAAAAGGGGCCGGGUGGCCGGUGGUGCUUCCCCGCACAGCAGCGAUCCGGGGCCGACGCGCCGCGGAGGGGGCGGCGUCGAUCCAGCGCCACAGGGGCAGACCGGCGGCACGCCUACACCGCGGCAGCCUGCGGCCAACAGGGCCGGUGGCUCAAUAGGACGACCAAGAAAGCAUCCAUGGCGAGCGGCACCGACCGCAUUAGUGCCCUCCCCGAUGAAGCCCUCCACCUCGUGUUGUCCUUCCUACCCGCACAUGAGGUGGUGUCAACAGCCCUACUCGCCCGGCGCUGGCGCCACCUUUGGAAAUCCGCCCCUGCCCUGCGUGUCACCGGCGUCAAGGACUGCGACAACCCUGGGUGGUUCAUUCAGUACGUUGACAGCCUGCUCCUCUUCCGCCACUCCGGUGCUCUCCUGGACUCGUUCAAUCUUGAUCUUGACGAGUGCGACUUUGGUUUCAAGCCGUUCCUACCCACCUACAACAUGAACGUGAAUUUAUGGUUCCGGCUCGCGUUGUUCUGCCAAGCUCGGGUACUCUCAUUGCGCACCACCCAUGGUAUCUACAAGUACGAGGACAACCGGCCUUUGCAGCUACCAAGUGUGCCUAUCAUCUCCCAGCACCUUAAAAGAUUGGAUCUUGAAUUGGUGUGUUUAAAAGGGAGCACUCUCGAUUUCUCGGGGUGUCCAGCGCUGGUUGACCUCAAGAUGAAGACUUGUGAGAUUCUUGGAGAUUUGAAAUCCCCAUUUUUGAAACAACUCAGCAUUAGCGGCUGUUACUUUGCGUAUGGUUCCUCUCGCACUCGGAUUUAUUUGCCAGGUCUUGUUUCACUGGUGCUAAGUGAUUUUGGCCGUAGGACUCCACUGCUCAACAACAUGCCAUUGUUAGUUUCAGCGAUUGUCAGAGUUACUGAUCGCUGUGUUGAUGAUUGUCCUAAGAGUAGCUAUGGAGAUUGUGAAGAUCCAACCUGUUUUGGUUGUCAUAAUUCCUAUGAAGGUGCUGAUGAUGGGCGCGGUGAGUCCAUACUUUUGAAAGGUUUAUCUCAAGUUAUGGAGUUGGAGCUCUCAGUUGAUUCGAAAGUGUUUAUUGUCAACAGGGAUUUGAAAUUACACCCUACAUUUUGCAAGUUAAAGAUGUUGUUACUCAGUGAAUGGUGUCCCGGCGUUUCUGCAAGUCUCAAUGUAUUAACUUGCUUCCUCCAAUACUCACCAAUUCUGGAGAAGCUUACCCUCCAGCUUUCAAAGGUACCUAAAGAUCGAGUGGAAACAGAAAGAACUUGUGAACCAUCGGAAAAAUCAUUUGCAUGCGGCCAUCUUAAGAUAGUUGAGAUCAAAUGUGAAGAAGUUGAUGGGAGGGUUCACAAAGUUUUGGACAUCUUGUGUACUUAUGGCAUACCACUCGAAAAAGUUAAUAUCCAACAAACUAAUAGAGCUUCUGGACCUUGAUAAACAUGCAUUUGAAGAUUUGGUUCUUCAAUGAAGCUACACUUUCCCUUAUCUAUGUUCUUCAAGUGAGGUACCUUCAAAUCUUCAAGUAGAGGGUAAGAAGACCUGGGCUGUUGAUGAUCUAUUAUGUCCUUGACCAUUUGAUAACAGUGGGCAAGCUUGCAACGAUGACGUUUCUGUCUUCUGUCUAGAGGGAUCUUAUGUUGGUUCCACUCAUAGAAACGAUUUUACAGACUUGGUACUUGGUAGUAUGACUUGUUUGGAUGUAAUUAAACCUGCUUUAACGGGCUAUCUAGUUUCACUACACUUUUGGUUACUGGGUUUGCAAGAUGAUAUCAUCCUUUA
Molecule: RNA transcript, 1879 nt
Organism: Phragmites australis (common reed)
Lineage: Eukaryota; Viridiplantae; Streptophyta; Magnoliopsida; Poales; Poaceae
Gene name: MEIOTIC F-BOX protein MOF-like
Exons: 6
Source: RefSeq, a predicted model, not a curated record